CCUACGGGAGGCAGCAGUGAGGAAUAUUGGUCAAUGGGCGCGAGCCUGAACCAGCCAAGUCGCGUGAGGGAGGACGGCCCUACGGGUUGUAAACCUCUUUUGCCGGGGAGCAACGGGCGUCACGUGUGGCGCCACUGAGAGUACCCGGAGAAAAAGCAUCGGCUAACUCCGUGCCAGCAGCCGCGGUAAUACGGAGGAUGCGAGCGUUAUCCGGAUUUAUUGGGUUUAAAGGGUGCGUAGGCGGAUCGUUAAGUCAGUGGUCAAAUUGAGGGGCUCAACCCCUUCCCGCCAUUGAAACUGGCGUUCUUGAGUGGAAGAGAAGUAUGCGGAAUGCGUGGUGUAGCGGUGAAAUGCAUAGAUAUCACGCAGAACCCCGAUUGCGAAGGCAGCAUGCCGGCUUCCGACUGACGCUGAAGCACGAAAGCCAGGGUAGCAAAUGGGAUUAGAUACCCGUGUAGUC
RNAcentral lists this ribosomal RNA (460 nucleotides) under uncultured bacterium. RNAcentral's name for it is "partial 16S ribosomal RNA". It matches the Rfam family "Bacterial small subunit ribosomal RNA", at positions 338 to 795 of the family's 1533-position model. The record is from RNAcentral.